Molecule: ribosomal RNA, 649 nt
Filed under: Lactobacillus sp. LQC 1938
Lineage: Bacteria; Bacillati; Bacillota; Bacilli; Lactobacillales; Lactobacillaceae
Description: bacterial SSU rRNA
Rfam family: Bacterial small subunit ribosomal RNA
Source: RNAcentral
UUGGAAUCCGAACUGAAGUGGCGAAACUGGUUGAGUAAACAACGUGGGUAAACCUGCCCAAGAAAGAAAGGGGAAUAAACAACCUGGAAAACAGAAUGCUAAUAACCGUAAUAACAAACAAGAAACCACAUGGUUCUUGUUUGAAAAGCUGGCCUUUGUGCUAGUGCUAGUGCUUCUGGAUGGACCCGCGGCGUAUUAGCUAGUUGGUGAGAUAUAAGCUCACCAAGGCAAUGAUACGUAGCAGACCUGAGAGGGUAAUCUGCCACAAUUGGACUGAGACACGGCCCAUACUCCAUACGGGAGGCAGCAGUAAGGGAAUCUUCCACAAUGGACGAAAGUCUGAUGGAGCAGCGCCGCGUGAGUGAGAGAAGGGUUUCGGCUCGUAAAACUCUGUUGUUAGAGAAGAACAGCCGUGAGAGCAACUGCUCACGGUAUGACGGUAUCUAACCAAGAAAGUAAGGCCUAACUACGUGCCAGCAUGCCGCGGGUAAUACGUAGGUGGCAAACGUUGUCCGGAUUUAUUGGGCGUAAAGGGAGCGCAGGCGGUUUUAUUAAGUCUGAUGUGAAAGCCUUGGGCUUAACCGGAGAAGUGCAUCGGAAACUCAUAAACUUGAGUGCAGAAAAGGAUAGUGGAACUUCAUGUGUAGCG